RNAcentral lists this ribosomal RNA (497 nucleotides) under uncultured bacterium. Its description in RNAcentral is "partial 16S ribosomal RNA". It matches the Rfam family "Bacterial small subunit ribosomal RNA", at positions 28 to 507 of the family's 1533-position model. The record is from RNAcentral.
GAUGAACGCUGGCGGCGUGCCUAAUACAUGCAAGUCGAGCGAACGGACGAGAAACUUGCUUCUCUGAUGUUAGCGGCGGACGGGUGAGUAACACGUGGAUAACCUACCUAUAAGACUGGGAUAACUUCGGGAAACCGGAGCUAAUACCGGAUAAUAUUUUGAACCGCAUGGUUCAAAAGUGAAAGACGGUCUUGCUGUCACUUAUAGAUGGAUCCGCGCUGCAUUAGCUAGUUGGUAAGGUAACGGCUUACCAAGGCAACGAUGAAUAGCCGACCUGAGAGGGUGAUCGGCCACACUGGAACUAAGACACGGUCCAGACUCCUACGGGAGGCAGCAGUAGGGAAUCUUCCGCAAUGGGCGAAAGCCUGACGGAGCAACGCCGCGUGAGUGAUGAAGGUCUUCGGAUCGUAAAACUCUGUUAUUAGGGAAGAACAUAUGUGUAAGUAACUGUGCACAUCUUGACGGUACCUAAUCAGAAAGCCACGGCUAACUACGUG